This is a non-coding RNA of Cinara cedri, 437 nucleotides long. The record is from the annotation of a GenBank genome assembly. NCBI's taxonomy places the organism in Eukaryota, Metazoa, Arthropoda, Insecta, Hemiptera, Aphididae.
GAAAACCCGCCACUGAGGACAGCGCUGGAAUAGAACCCGGAUCAGGGAAAAUUACCGCCGGAAAGACCGAUAACAAUACAUUUAUCAAGUUACGAGCACAUCCGAUAAGCAACGCAUGCUUGAGACGGGUGAGCCGAGUCAAUAUUGCCCGCACAAGUGUACAAUAAUCGUAUUGAAAGAGAAAAUUAUACAUUAGAAAGUUUAAAAUACAAAAAGACUCGGAAACAAAUUGACUAAUAAAUAUUGAAAUUUAAACACCGGGAAAAAGUUGUUUUACCUACUCAUUUCUUAUGCAUAAUGAAAUAAUCAAAGUUGGCUAAAAUAUUAUUAUGUUUACGUAAUAAAAUAACUCCUCUAAUGAUUGGACUUUGAUUACCUACCUGCCAAACUGAGUGCGAGUACGUGGUACAGUUAAGCUACAGUUAUUUUUAAUUCUU